Molecule: ribosomal RNA, 278 nt
Filed under: Staphylococcus sp. HMSC62A08
Lineage: Bacteria; Bacillati; Bacillota; Bacilli; Caryophanales; Staphylococcaceae
Description: partial 23S ribosomal RNA
Rfam family: Bacterial large subunit ribosomal RNA
Source: RNAcentral
UGUAAGUAAGCGUUGAUCCAGAGAUUUCCGAAUGGGGGAACCCAACAUGAGUGAUGUCAUGUUAUCGACAUGUGAAUUCAUAGCAUGUCAGAAGGCAGACCCGGAGAACUGAAACAUCUUAGUACCCGGAGGAAGAGAAAGAAAAAUCGAUUCCCUGAGUAGCGGCGAGCGAAACGGGAAGAGCCCAAACCAACAAGCUUGCUUGUUGGGGUUGUAGGACACUCUAUACGGAGUUACAAAAGAACAUGUUAGACGAAUCAUCUGGAAAGAUGAAUCAA